UACGGAGGGUGCGAGCGUUGUUCGGAAUCACUGGGCGUAAAGCGCGUGUAGGCGGCCCACUAAGUCUGAUGUGAAAGCCCGGGGCUCACCCCCGGAAGUGCAUUGGAAACUGGUGGACUCGAGUCCCGGAGAGGAGAGUGGAAUUCCUGGUGUAGCGGUGAAAUGCGUAGAUAUCAGGAGGAACACCGGUGGCGAAGGCGGCUCUCUGGACGGUGACUGACGCUGAGGUGCGAAAGCGUGGGGAGCAAACAGG
This 253-nucleotide ribosomal RNA is filed under the name uncultured bacterium. Its description in RNAcentral is "partial 16S ribosomal RNA". It matches the Rfam family "Bacterial small subunit ribosomal RNA", at positions 524 to 776 of the family's 1533-position model. The record is from RNAcentral.